UACUGCUUGCCCUGGUUGCUGCUGUUGCCGUGGUGAUGCUGCUGCUGUCCCUGUUGCUGCAUGCUGCUAGGCUACCUGUCGUUGCGCCUGUUGUUGUUGCUGUAGAGGCAAAGCCUGCAGCCGUUUGCUGUUGUUGUUACUGCUAGCUGCUUGCUUGCUGUGCUACGGUUGUUGUUGCCCGAUUUGCUAGGUUGCUGGUUGCUGCGUUCGGCUU
Molecule: long non-coding RNA, 214 nt
Filed under: Hordeum vulgare
Lineage: Eukaryota; Viridiplantae; Streptophyta; Magnoliopsida; Poales; Poaceae
Description: long non-coding RNA (HVUL_LNC013227)
Source: RNAcentral